GUAGUCUGCAACCCGACUACAUGAAGCUGGAAUCGCUAGUAAUCGCGGAUCAGAAUGCCGCGGUGAAUACGUUCCCGGGUCUUGUACACACCGCCCGUCACACCAUGGGAGUCGGAAAUGCCCGAAGUCUGUGACCCAACCGGAAGGAGGGAGCAGCCGAAGGCAGGUCGGAUGACUGGGGUGAAGUCGUAACAAGGUAAC
RNAcentral lists this ribosomal RNA (201 nucleotides) under uncultured bacterium. Its description in RNAcentral is "partial 16S ribosomal RNA". It matches the Rfam family "Bacterial small subunit ribosomal RNA", at positions 1300 to 1500 of the family's 1533-position model. The record is from RNAcentral.